GCGGCAACAGCUCAAAUUUGAAAUCUGGCGCAAGCCCGAGUUGUAAUUUGUAGAGGAUGCUUCUGGGCAGCGGCCGUUCUAAGUUCCUUGGAACAGGACGUCAUAGAGGGUGAGAAUCCCGUAUGUGACCGGCACGUACCCUUUACGUAGCUCCUUCGACGAGUCGAGUUGUUUGGGAAUGCAGCUCUAAAUGGGAGGUAAAUUCCUUCUAAAGCUAAAUACCGGCCAGAGACCGAUAGCGCACAAGUAGAGUGAUCGAAAGAUGAAAAGCACUUUGGAAAGAGAGUUAAAAAGCACGUGAAAUUGUUGAAAGGGAAGCGCUUACAACCAGACUUCGUGGCGGUGUUCCGCCGGUCUUCUGACCGGUCUACUCGCCGCCGCGAGGCCAGCAUCGUCUGGGGCCGCCGGAUAAGACCUUGGGAAUGUAGCUUGCCUCGGUAAGUGUUAUAGCCCAGGGUGAUGCGGCGUGCCUCGGGCGAGGUCCGCGCUUCGGCAAGGAUGCUGGCGUAAUGGUUGUCAGCGGCCCGUCUUGAAACACGGACCAAGGAGUCUAACAUCUAUGCGAGUGUUCGGGUGUCAAACCCCUACGCGUAAUGAAAGUGAACGGAGGUGGGAAGCGCAAGCUGCACCAUCGACCGAUCCUGAUGUCCUCGGAUGGAUUUGAGUAAGAGCAUAGCUGUUGGGACCCGAAAGAUGGUGAACUAUGCCUGAAUAGGGUGAAGCCAGAGGAAACUCUGGUGGAGGCUCGCAGCGGUUCUGACGUGCAAAUCGAUCGUCAAAUUUGGGUAUAGGGGCGAAAGACUAAUCGACCCCUCAAAAGUC
Molecule: ribosomal RNA, 822 nt
Filed under: Phaeophleospora vochysiae
Lineage: Eukaryota; Fungi; Ascomycota; Dothideomycetes; Mycosphaerellales; Mycosphaerellaceae
Description: LSU rRNA
Rfam family: Eukaryotic large subunit ribosomal RNA
Source: RNAcentral